This is a long non-coding RNA of Lycium ferocissimum, 517 nucleotides long. RefSeq lists it as uncharacterized. The transcript has 3 exons. The record is from RefSeq and is a predicted model, not a curated record. NCBI's taxonomy places the organism in Eukaryota, Viridiplantae, Streptophyta, Magnoliopsida, Solanales, Solanaceae.
GCCCUAGAUCGCCCAACGGCCGCUAGUUCGUGAGAAUUUAUGAGUUUAAGUCCCGAAAAGUGAACAAUGAAAAAGAUAAAAAGAAAGCAAGAGAGAAUCCAUCACUUUUAUAUUCAAAUAGUGAGUGAGAUUUUGAAGAUUUUAAAGUUAUAAUAAUCUUUGGCGGGAGCCAUAGUUCGUCGAUUGCAACAACAAAGCGACUAUACAAUAUUGGGGAGAAGAUCUUUUUAAGAAGUUAAAAAGUCUGCAGAUUUGUGGAAUGAGAGCAUAUAAGUGACAAAUUAAGACAAGAUGUUGAUCAAGCUAAGGUGCGGUUGAAGACCGUGGAAGGAGAGAAAGAGGAAGACUAUGCAGCUUUGGACUCAAACAAGAUGGUGUCACAAAAAUUGUGUAUUAUGACUAUGUUGAAAUAGAAAAAUACAAUUAUUAUUCAACUUUUUUUUGGAUCAAGUACAAUUAUCUGUAACUUGAAAGUGUUUUGGAAUAAAAAAAAAUGAAUUCUUUUAUAAAAUUCUUG